RNAcentral lists this ribosomal RNA (497 nucleotides) under uncultured bacterium. RNAcentral's name for it is "partial 16S ribosomal RNA". It matches the Rfam family "Bacterial small subunit ribosomal RNA", at positions 28 to 507 of the family's 1533-position model. The record is from RNAcentral.
GAUGAACGCUGGCGGCGUGCCUAAUAUAUGCAAGUCGAGCGAGCGGACGAGAAGCUUGCUUCUCUGAUGUUAGCGGCGGACGGGUGAGUAACACGUGGAUAACCUACCUAUAAGACUGGGAUAACUUCGGGAAACCGGAGCUAAUACCGGAUAAUAUUUUGAACCGCAUGGUUCAAAAGUGAAAGACGGUCUUGCUGUCACUUAUAGAUGGAUCCGCGCUGCAUUAGCUAGUUGGUAAGGUAACGGCUUACCAAGGCAACGAUGCAUAGCCGACCUGAGAGGGUGAUCGGCCACACUGGAACUGAGACACGGUCCAGACUCCUACGGGAGGCAGCAGUAGGGAAUCUUCCGCAAUGGGCGAAAGCCUGACGGAGCAACGCCGCGUGAGUGAUGAAGGUCUUCGGAUCGUAAAACUCUGUUAUUAGGGAAGAACAUAUGUGUAAGUAACUGUGCACAUCUUGACGGUACCUAAUCAGAAAGCCACGGCUAACUACGUG